Molecule: ribosomal RNA, 490 nt
Filed under: uncultured bacterium
Lineage: Bacteria
Description: partial 16S ribosomal RNA
Rfam family: Bacterial small subunit ribosomal RNA
Source: RNAcentral
AUUGAACGCUGGCGGCAGGCCUAACACAUGCAAGUCGAACGGUAACAGGAAGAAGCUUGCUUCUUUGCUGACGAGUGGCGGACGGGUGAGUAAUGUCUGGGAAACUGCCUGAUGGAGGGGGAUAACUACUGGAAACGGUAGCUACUACCGCAUAACGUCGCAAGACCAAAGAGGGGGACCUUCGUGCCUCUUGCCAUCGGGUGUGCCCAGAUGGGAUUAGCUAGUAGGUGGGGUAACGGCUCACCUAGGCGACGAUCCCUAGCUGGUCUGAGAGGAUGACCAGCCACACUGGAACUGAGCCACGGUCCAGACUCCUACGGGAGGCAGCAGUGGGGAAUAUUGCACAAUGGGCGCAAGCCUGAUGCAGCCAUGCCGCGUGUAUGAAGAAGGCCUUCGGGUUGUAAAGUACUUUCAGCGGGGAGGAAGGGAGUAAAGUUAAUACCUUGGCUCAUUGACGUUACCCGCAGAAGAAGCACCGGCUAACUCCGUG